Long non-coding RNA from Nomascus leucogenys (northern white-cheeked gibbon), 454 nucleotides. RefSeq lists it as uncharacterized. The transcript is spliced from 3 exons. The record is from RefSeq and is a predicted model, not a curated record. Lineage: Eukaryota; Metazoa; Chordata; Mammalia; Primates; Hylobatidae.
UUGGUACCUUGGAGUUCACAGUCUAAUGGGGAACACAGGAUAUAAGCAAGUGGUUUCAGCACAGCUUUGGAAUUGCAUGCAGAGAAGUGAGUGAAGUGACUGCGGGCCCAGCCAAGGCUGGAGUAAAGUGGCACGAUCUCAGCUCACUGCAGCCUCCGCCCCCACCAGGUUCAAGUGAUUCUCCUGCCUCAGCCUCCCGAGUAGCUGGGAUUACAGGCACAGGCCACCACGCCUGGGUCAUCCAUACUUCAUUUACCCGUCCUUGCUAUGGAUUAUUCAUUAAAACAAACAACAGCAACAAUAACCACAAAAGCAACAAUAAAAAUACCUUUGAACUCACUCAAUCUUGAACUAUUGAACAUGUUAAGUCCAUGUCAUUGGCCUAUUUAAUCAGCCCUCGAUUGUAACUUGAAGAAGCUUAUUGAUAAAAAAAUAAACUUCUCAUAAAUUAUAA